Molecule: transfer RNA, 68 nt
Filed under: Marmota monax (woodchuck)
Lineage: Eukaryota; Metazoa; Chordata; Mammalia; Rodentia; Sciuridae
Description: tRNA.Ala
Rfam family: tRNA (bases 6-63)
About the family: Transfer RNA (tRNA) molecules are approximately 80 nucleotides in length. Their secondary structure includes four short double-helical elements and three loops (D, anti-codon, and T loops). Further hydrogen bonds mediate the characteristic L-shaped molecular structure. tRNAs have two regions of fundamental functional importance: the anti-codon, which is responsible for specific mRNA codon recognition, and the 3' end, to which the tRNAs corresponding amino acid is attached (by aminoacyl-tRNA synthetases). tRNAs cope with the degeneracy of the genetic code in two manners: having more than one tRNA (with a specific anti-codon) for a particular amino acid; and 'wobble' base-pairing, i.e. permitting non-standard base-pairing at the 3rd anti-codon position.
Source: RNAcentral
GGCUAUAGCUCAGUUGGUAGAGUGUUUGCCUUGCAUACACAAAUCCCUGGGUUCAAUCCCCAGCACCA